UCAAACGUUGAACUUUUCAUGUGCCGAACCUAAUGUUAAUGAGCUAAGUUCUUUGUUUCACUUCAUUUGCAUUAGGUUCGGCACAUGAAAAGUUCGACGUUUGACC
Molecule: non-coding RNA, 106 nt
Organism: Paramuricea clavata
Lineage: Eukaryota; Metazoa; Cnidaria; Anthozoa; Malacalcyonacea; Plexauridae
Source: the annotation of a GenBank genome assembly